GGUAUCUGAUGGUGUUCUGGGCCUGGGGCUCAUGGAGCAAGAAGUGGACCGAAAACUAGUAUAAUAAUAAGACCUUCCUAGACUGAGCUGGAGAGGUGUCCAUAGCAGAUACCCUUCCACUCCAGGCCUGGGCCCAACUGACCGUGUCCUGUCUUACAGCUUCUGUUCACAAACCCAGCAUCUACCCCUUGAUCUCCUGCUGCCCGGGGAUGAGUACUUCCUCAGUGGGCUGCCUGGUCAAGGGCUACUUCCCGGAACCAGUAACCGUGACCUGGGACACAGACUCGCCAAAUGUGGCCAUCCAUGCGUUCCCCGCCCUCAACUUCAACUCCAGCUCCCUGAUCAGUGCCAGCCAGAUGAUGGUCUCAGGGUCAAGCUCCAAGCUCUUCAAAUGCAGGGUGAUCCAUGCUGCAUCUUCAUUAGACCAAACAAAGACAUUCAGUGCUUGCUCUUCGAUGCCCUCCGAGCUAACCGUGAAGCUCCUUCAUUCCUCUUGCAACCAAAACAAGUUCCAGCCCACCAUCCAGCUCCACUGCCUGAUUUCUAACUAUAUCCCGGGUGACCUUGAAGUCACUUGGCUGAGGGAUGGGCAGCAGAUCGGUGAAAAGUUCACAGAGAACAGUACACACAGUAAUGCUGGCAUGCUGGCCUCUACCCAAAGAGAGUUCAACAUCACUCAGAGUGACUGGGCAUCUGAGAGCACCUUCACCUGCCAGGUCCUCUCCCAAGGCCGCACCACCAAGGCUCACAUCCGAAAGUGCACAGAUGAGAAUGAGCCACGAGGUGUGCGUGCCUACCUGAUCCCACCCAGUCCCGAAGAUCUUUACGUUGGCACAGAGCCCAAGCUCACCUGCCUGGUGGUGGACCUGGAGAACAAAGAGGGAGUCACUGUGGAGUGGACCCGGGAGAGCGGACGGGCCACAAACCCUGAUGCCUGGAUCCCCACAACACAUGACAACACCACGGUUAGCAUCAAGUCCACGCUGCCCGUGGUCGCGCAGGACUGGAUUGAAGGCGAGAGCUACAAGUGCAGUUUGACUCACCCUGACCUGCCCAAGGCUGUUGUGCGGUUCAUCACCAGGGCCCAAGGCACACGCAUGAAGCCCAAGGUGUAUGUGUUCUUACCAGAAGAGGACAGGUCAGAGGAGGGUCCACAGAACCAGGACAUGCUCUUCCUCACCUGCCUGGUCCAGAACUUCUUCCCCAAGGACAUCUCUGUUCUGUGGCUUCAAAAUGGACAGAAAAUCAACAGCAGCCAGUACAGCACGACAGCCCCCACCAAGACCAAUAGCUCCCCUCCCUCCUUCUUCACUGUCAGCCGUCUGGAGGUCAGCCGGACGGAAUGGAUGAAGAGCAACAAAUUCACCUGCCGGGUGGUCCAUGAGGCACUGCCCCCUCCUAGGACCUUAGAAAAAACCGUGUCCAAGAGUCCUGGUAAAUGAAGCCUCCCUGCCUCCCCAUGCUCCAUCUAUCAAGGAGACCUCUGUCCCUGUUGUAACAACUCUAGGAAGCCACCCAAUAAACACUUGGUGCCCGUUUCAA
Cavia porcellus (domestic guinea pig) is the source of this 1542-nucleotide non-coding RNA. Lineage: Eukaryota; Metazoa; Chordata; Mammalia; Rodentia; Caviidae. The record is from the annotation of a RefSeq genome assembly.